UCGUAACAAGGUUUCCGUAGGUGAACCUGCGGAAGGAUCAUUACCGAGUGCGGGCUGCCUCCGGGCGCCCAACCUCCCACCCGUGACUACCUAACACUGUUGCUUCGGCGGGGAGCCCCCCAGGGGGCGAGCCGCCGGGGACCACUGAACUUCAUGCCUGAGAGUGAUGCAGUCUGAGCCUGAAUACAAAUCAGUCAAAACUUUCAACAAUGGAUCUCUUGGUUCCGGCAUCGAUGAAGAACGCAGCGAACUGCGAUAAGUAAUGUGAAUUGCAGAAUUCAGUGAAUCAUCGAGUCUUUGAACGCACAUUGCGCCCCCUGGCAUUCCGGGGGGCAUGCCUGUCCGAGCGUCAUUGCUGCCCUCAAGCCCGGCUUGUGUGUUGGGUCGUCGUCCCCCCCCCGGGGGACGGGCCCGAAAGGCAGCGGCGGCACCGUGUCCGGUCCUCGAGCGUAUGGGGCUUUGUCACCCGCUCGAUUAGGGCCGGCCGGGCGCCAGCCGGCGUCUCCAACCUUAUUUUUCUCAGGUUGACCUCGGAUCAGGUAGGGAUACCCGCUGAACCUAAGCAUAUCA
RNAcentral lists this unclassified non-coding RNA (570 nucleotides) under Aspergillus spinulosporus. RNAcentral's name for it is "sequence contains 18S rRNA gene, ITS1, 5.8S rRNA gene, ITS2, 28S rRNA gene". The stretch from base 199 to 352 matches the Rfam family "5.8S ribosomal RNA". The record is from RNAcentral. Lineage: Eukaryota; Fungi; Ascomycota; Eurotiomycetes; Eurotiales; Aspergillaceae.